This is a microRNA precursor of Balaenoptera musculus (blue whale), 104 nucleotides long. Ensembl annotates it as microRNA 10a. Its record names the gene MIR10A. The record is from Ensembl. NCBI's taxonomy places the organism in Eukaryota, Metazoa, Chordata, Mammalia, Artiodactyla, Balaenopteridae.
UCUGUCUUCUGUAUAUACCCUGUAGAUCCGAAUUUGUGUAAGGAAUUUUGUGGUCACAAAUUCGUAUCUAGGGGAAUAUGUAGUUGACAUAAACACUCCGCUCA